Long non-coding RNA from Dromaius novaehollandiae (emu), 180 nucleotides. RefSeq lists it as uncharacterized. The transcript has 3 exons. The record is from RefSeq and is a predicted model, not a curated record. NCBI's taxonomy places the organism in Eukaryota, Metazoa, Chordata, Aves, Casuariiformes, Dromaiidae.
GGUGUGGAGCCUUGCGGGGAGCAGGUCGCUCGCAUCCAGGAGGAGCAGGGAGAGGUGUGUGGUGGACCUCGGCAUGGGGAGCCAUAGCCCAGCAGUUGGGAUGGGAGAGUGGAGCAGGAAAAGGUUUUGCGGGAAGUUGUGGAGAGAAGCAGUUGAGUGCUGAGAAGAGCCUGAGCAGGU